GAUAAACGCUGGCGGCGUGCCUUAUGCAUGCAAGUCGAACGAUCCUUCCCGCAAGGGAAGGGUAGUGGCAAACGGGUGAGUAAUACGUAGGUAACCUAUCCCUAAGCGGGGGAUAACUCCGGGAAACUGGGGCUAAUACCGCAUGUGGUUCUUUAUCGCAAGAUGAAGAACUAAAGCCGUAAGGCUCUUGGGGAGGGGCCUGCGUCCGAUUAGCUAGUUGGUGGGGUAACGGCCUACCAAGGCGAUGAUCGGUAGCUGGUCUGAGAGGAUAUCCAGCCACACGGGGACUGAGACACGGCCCCGACUCCUACGGGAGGCAGCAGCAAGGAAUUUUGCGCAAUGGGCGAAAGCCUGACGCAGCGACGCCGCGUGUGAGAUGACAGCCUUCGGGUCGUAAACCUCUUUUCUCAGGGAGGAAUAAAUGACAGUACCUGGGGAAUAAGUCACGGCUAACUACGUGCCAGCCGCCGCGGUAA
RNAcentral lists this ribosomal RNA (476 nucleotides) under uncultured bacterium. Its description in RNAcentral is "partial 16S ribosomal RNA". It matches the Rfam family "Bacterial small subunit ribosomal RNA", at positions 28 to 523 of the family's 1533-position model. The record is from RNAcentral.